RNAcentral lists this ribosomal RNA (947 nucleotides) under uncultured bacterium. RNAcentral's name for it is "bacterial SSU rRNA". It matches the Rfam family "Bacterial small subunit ribosomal RNA". The record is from RNAcentral.
AGAAAUUACGUAUCGGAUUACUGGGCGUAAGCGUGCGCAGGCGGUUUUGUAAGACAGGCGUGAAAUCCCCGGGCUUAACCUGGGAACUGCGCUUGUGACUGCAAGGCUAGAGUGCGGCAGAGGGGGGUAGAAUUCCACGUGUAGCAGUGAAAUGCGUAGAUAUGUGGAGGAAUACCGAUGGCGAAGGCAGCCCCCUGGGUCGAUACUGACGCUCAUGCACGAAAGCGUGGGGAGCAAACAGGAUUAGAUACCCUGGUAGUCCACGCCCUAAACGAUGUCAACUAGGUGUUGGGGAAGGAGACUUCUUUAGUACCGCAGCUAACGCGAUAAGUUGACCGCCUGGGGAGUACGGUCGCAAGAUUAAAACUCAAAGGAAUUGACGGGGACCCGCACAAGCGGUGGAUUAUGUGGAUUAAUUCGAUGCAACGCGAAAAACCUUACCUACCCUUGACAUGUCAGGAAGAUCCCAGAGAUGGGAUUGUGCCCGAAAGGGAACCUGAACACAGGUGCUGCAUGGCUGUCGUCAGCUCGUGUCGUGAGAUGUUGGGUUAAGUCCCGCAACGAGCGCAACCCUUGUCAUUAAUUGCCAUCAUUCGGUUGGGCACUUUAAUGAGACUGCCGGUGAUAAACCGGAGGAAGGUGGGGAUGACGUCAAGUCCUCAUGGCCCUUAUGGGUAGGGCUUCACACGUAAUACAAUGGUCGGUACAGAGGGUCGCCAACCCGCGAGGGGGAGCCAAUCUCAGAAAGCCGAUCGUAGUCCGGAUCGGAGUCUGCAACUCGACUCCGUGAAGUCGGAAUCGCUAGUAAUCGCGGAUCAGCAUGUCGCGGUGAAUACGUUCCCGGGUCUUGUACACACCGCCCGUCACACCAUGGGAGUGGAAUCUGGCAGAAGUAGUAGCCUAACCGCAAGAGGGCGCUUACCACGCUGGGUUUCAUGACUGGGGUG